This 340-nucleotide ribosomal RNA is filed under the name Nocardia cyriacigeorgica. RNAcentral describes it as "bacterial SSU rRNA". It matches the Rfam family "Bacterial small subunit ribosomal RNA", at positions 78 to 421 of the family's 1533-position model. The record is from RNAcentral. Lineage: Bacteria; Bacillati; Actinomycetota; Actinomycetes; Mycobacteriales; Nocardiaceae.
CUUCGGGGUACACGAGCGGCGAACGGGUGAGUAACACGUGGGUGAUCUGCCUCGCACUCUGGGAUAAGCCUGGGAAACUGGGUCUAAUACCGGAUAUGACCUUACAUCGCAUGGUGUUUGGUGGAAAGAUUUAUCGGUGCGAGAUGGGCCCGCGGCCUAUCAGCUUGUUGGUGGGGUAAUGGCCUACCAAGGCGACGACGGGUAGCCGGCCUGAGAGGGCGACCGGCCACACUGGGACUGAGACACGGCCCAGACUCCUACGGGAGGCAGCAGUGGGGAAUAUUGCACAAUGGGCGAAAGCCUGAUGCAGCGACGCCGCGUGAGGGAUGACGGCCUUCGG